CCUACGGGAGGCAGCAGUGGGGAAUAUUGCACAAUGGGGGAAACCCUGAUGCAGCAACGCCGCGUGAAGGAAGAAGGUCUUCGGAUUGUAAACCUCUGUUAGUAGGGAAGAAUAAUGACGGUAGCGAAGGAGCAAGCCACGGCUAACGACGUGCAAGCAGCCGCGGUAAUAGGUGGGGGGCAGGCGUUGUCCGGAAUUACUGGGGGUAAAGGGAGCGCAGGGGGGAAGCCAAGUCAGCUGUGAAAACUACGGGCUUAACUUGUAGACUGCAGUUGAAACUGGGUUUCUUGAGUGAAGUAGGGGCUGGCGGAAUUCCUGGUGUAGCGGUGAAAUGCGUAGAUAUCCGGAGGAACACCGGUGGCGAAGGCGGCCUACUGGGCUUUAACUGACGUUGAGGCUCGAAAGUGUGGGGAGCAAACAGGAUUAGAUACCCCUGUAGUC
RNAcentral lists this ribosomal RNA (441 nucleotides) under uncultured bacterium. RNAcentral describes it as "partial 16S ribosomal RNA". It matches the Rfam family "Bacterial small subunit ribosomal RNA", at positions 338 to 795 of the family's 1533-position model. The record is from RNAcentral.